RNAcentral lists this ribosomal RNA (446 nucleotides) under Lancefieldella parvula. RNAcentral describes it as "bacterial SSU rRNA". It matches the Rfam family "Bacterial small subunit ribosomal RNA", at positions 40 to 500 of the family's 1533-position model. Lineage: Bacteria; Bacillati; Actinomycetota; Coriobacteriia; Coriobacteriales; Atopobiaceae. The record is from RNAcentral.
CGGGCGUCUUAACAUGCAAGUCGAACGAUUAAAGCACCUUCGGGUGUGUAUAAAGUGGCGAACGGCUGAGUAACACGUGGGCAACCUGCCCCUUUCAUUGGGAUAGCCACGGGAAACCGUGGAUAAUACCGAAUACUUCGAGACUUCCGCAUGGAAGACUCGAGAAAGCUCCGGCGGAGAGGGAUGGGCCCGCGGCCUGUUAGCUUGUUGGUGGGGUAACGGCCUACCAAGGCAAUGAUGGGUAGCUGGGUUGAGAGACCGACCAGCCAGAUUGGGACUGAGACACGGCCCAGACUCCUACGGGAGGCAGCAGUGGGGAAUCUUGCACAAUGGGCGAAAGCCUGAUGCAGCGACGCCGCGUGCGGGAUGAAGGCCUUCGGGUUGUAAACCGCUUUCAGCAGGGACGAGGCGAAAGUGACGGUACCUGCAGAAGAAGCCCCGGCUAA